UUCACUUUCUCACCCCUCCCCUUUCUUGUUUCCCUUUUUGUGGCAUUCUGGAGCCAUAUAACAAAAAAACUGAUCUCAAGAGAAAGCACAAUUAAAAAAGUGCUUGCAGGGAGAAAGCUAACACAUACGAAGAUGCUUCUUGAUUCGAUGGGAAGAUCAAGAAUGAAGAGAUGUCAUCAAAGAAGGGAGAAGUAAGUGCAGGUUAUCGUGGUGGGAAAGCGAGACUAAAUCAGUGCUUUUGAUGUGCAUAGGAGGUAUUGGCGUGUCUCAAUCUGAAAACAUGGUUGGAAGCUGAAAUAGCUAUGUAAUUGGAUUGAGCCGCGCCAAUAUCUCUUCUCCACGGCAGGCACUUUAUCUCAAGAUUAGAAGGGAUGGGCUACUAAGCUGAGCUGUAGGAGUAUCAAAUUGAUAUCGAGCUGCAAAUCUUCUUCUGGUUUCAGGCAUUAGUAAAGCUGUAGAAAAUAUAUAACCACAUGAAGGGCCUCCUCUAACAAGAACAUAUACCAAUGUAUUGGUUUGGGCUGGAUCUAGCCAUGUGAUCAUGAACGAAGCCAACAAACAUAUCAGCUCAUGCUUUCAUCUUCUUCUUUUUUCAGUUCCAGUAAUAUUCAGUAUUAGAAUUAUUACAAUCUCACAUAAAUUGAGGAAUUACUUGAGGAAUCUUAGGGUGUGAGUUUUUUUAUUAGAAUGAUACUCUACUGAAAUGAUUCCCACCAACCAAGAUUAUGGCAUGAGAAUAUGAAACGUUUAUAUAUACCUCUGCAACAACAAUAUUAACAAGCAUGUAUUACUUUUAAAUUUGUUUAAUGACAAGGGAAUGGAAGGAUAACAAUUUUUGGACUGAAUGUAGCAAAGAGUAAGCAUGGGAUCUUUGU
This is a long non-coding RNA of Zingiber officinale, 875 nucleotides long. RefSeq lists it as uncharacterized. The transcript is spliced from 3 exons. Lineage: Eukaryota; Viridiplantae; Streptophyta; Magnoliopsida; Zingiberales; Zingiberaceae. The record is from RefSeq and is a predicted model, not a curated record.